Molecule: non-coding RNA, 1023 nt
Organism: Danio rerio (zebrafish)
Lineage: Eukaryota; Metazoa; Chordata; Actinopteri; Cypriniformes; Danionidae
Source: Ensembl
ACUAACCAUUCCUUCCACAUUCACUGCAGGGAACUGUGCAAGUAAACGGUGGUCCCUGUGGUUCUCUGUUACCACAAAGGUCUAGUUACCGAAAAAUUCUCUUGAUCUUCGUUCUAAAGACUGAAGAGACGUAGAGUAUACCUGCAGUGUAGAAGGAGUGUGGACGUCAGACAUGGCUGAGGCUUUAUCUCCAGCAUAUUCUGAGUGUGAUAAUCCUGCAUUUCAACAUGACUGUCAUCAGCUUCAAGCAGAGUGGCAUGAGCCAGUGGUCCUCGUGCAGCCCCCUGAAUACAUAAGGCAAGAACCACCGGCUAAACCUGUGCCAGAUUACACCUGUUACUCCAUUUUUACCUCACUGUGGUGUUUGUGUCUGGGGAUAGCCGCCCUUCAAUACUCCAAAGCUACUCGCAGAGCUAACGCUGCUGGACGGAGAGAAGAAGCAGUGAAAAACUCUCGCACAGCACUCAUGUUAAAUCAUGUGGGUUUUGCUGUGGGCUUCGUCUUGACUGCACUCUAUAUACUCUACAAACUGUACCUCAAAAAUGAGACAUAGCUCCAUAGUGUCUCUCCAUCUUCAUUUUAAGCAAAUGUUAAGACUUGUAUUUUUUUCUGUUUUAAUUCAUUUCAGCAUUGCCUAAACCCCUUGAUGUGCAAAACCUUUUUUUAAUACUUACUAGUGGUAACACUUUAGAAUUGUGGUAAAUUAGUUUAUGUUGAUUAUUUAUUAACAUUAACCGAGUUGGUCAGCAUGGUGGCUCAGUGGUUAGCACUGUCACCUCACAGCAAGAUAGUGGCUGGUUCGAGUGCUGAAUGGGUCAGUUGGCAUUUCUGUGUGGAGUUUGCAUGUUCCCCCUGUGUUUGCAUGGGUCUCCUCCGGGUGCUCCGGUUUCCCCUACAGUCCAAAGGCAUGCACUGGGUUAAUUGAAUGAACUAAAUUGACCGUUAGUGAAUGAAUGUGUGUGAAUGCGAGUGUAUGGGUGUUUCCCAGUACUGUUUGUCUGGAAGGGCAUCCGAUGCGUAAAA